UACGUAGGCAGCAAGCGUUGUUCGGAAUUACUGGGCGUAAAGAGUGUGUAGGCGGUGCUCUAAGUUUGGUGUGAAAUCUCCCGCUUAACUGGGAGGGUGCGCCGAAAACUGGAAUGCUUGAACAUGGGAGAGGAAAGCGGAAUUCCUGGUGUAGCGGUGAAAUGCGUAGAUAUCGGGAAGAACACCCGUGGCGAAGGCGGCUCUCUGGACCGUAACUGACGCUGAGGCGCGAAAGCGUGGGGAGCAAACAGGGAGUUAGAACCAUCCGAGAACUUCC
RNAcentral lists this ribosomal RNA (277 nucleotides) under uncultured bacterium. RNAcentral describes it as "partial 16S ribosomal RNA". It matches the Rfam family "Bacterial small subunit ribosomal RNA", at positions 524 to 796 of the family's 1533-position model. The record is from RNAcentral.